CACCAGCCCCUCGAGUGGUGGGGAUGAUUAUUUGGCCUAAAGCGUCCGUAGCCGGCCGGGUAAGUUUCCCGUUAAAUCCAGCGUCUCAAGCGUUGGACUGCGGGAAAUACUGCCUGGCUAGAGAGUGGGAGAGGUGUACGGUAUUCUGGGGGUAGGGGCGAAAUCCUUUGAUCCCCGGAGGACCACCAGUGGCGAAGGCUGUACACUAGAACACGUCUGACGGUCAGGGACGAAAGCUGGGGUAGCGAACCGGAUUAGAUACCCCGGGUAGUCCCAGCUGUAAACGAUGCAUGCUAGGUGUUGGGUUGGCCACGAGCCACCCCAGUGCCGCAGGGAAGCCGUUAAGCAUGCCGCCUGGGAAGUACGAUCGCAAGAUUGAAACUUAAAGGAAUUGGCGGGGAGCACCACCAGGCGUGAAGCCUGCGGUUU
This 429-nucleotide ribosomal RNA is filed under the name uncultured archaeon. Its description in RNAcentral is "bacterial SSU rRNA". It matches the Rfam family "Archaeal small subunit ribosomal RNA", at positions 474 to 903 of the family's 1478-position model. The record is from RNAcentral.